AGAGUUUGAUCAUGGCUCAGAACGAACGCUGGCGGCAGGUCUUAGGCAUGCAAGUCGAACGGAUGACAAGGGAGCUUGCUUCCUUGAAGUCAGUGGCGCACGAGUGAGUAACGCGUGGGAAACUGCCCUUCACUGGGGAAUAACGUUUGGAAACGAACGCUAAUACCGCAUACGCCCGCAAGGGGAAAGAUUUUAUCGGUGAUGGAUGUGCCCGCGUUGGAUUAGCUAGUUGGUGGGGUAAUGGCCUACCAAGGCGAUGAUCCAUAGCUGGUCUGAGAGGACGAUCAGCCACGCUGGAACUGAGACACGGUCCAGACUCCUACGGGAGGCAGCAGCUAAGAAUAUUGGGCAAUGGAGGAAACUCUGACCCAGCCAAUGCCGCGUGAAUGAAGAAGGCCUUCGGGUUGUAAAGUUCUUUUAGUCAUGAAGAUGAUGACAGUAGUGACAGAAAAAGCACCGGCUAACUUCGUGCCAGCAGCGGC
RNAcentral lists this ribosomal RNA (482 nucleotides) under uncultured bacterium. RNAcentral's name for it is "bacterial SSU rRNA". It matches the Rfam family "Bacterial small subunit ribosomal RNA", at positions 8 to 518 of the family's 1533-position model. The record is from RNAcentral.